This 1314-nucleotide long non-coding RNA is filed under the name Sus scrofa (pig). RNAcentral describes it as "lncRNA (ENSSSCG00015035570.1)". The record is from RNAcentral. Lineage: Eukaryota; Metazoa; Chordata; Mammalia; Artiodactyla; Suidae.
GGAAGAUAUUUUGGCAUAGGAUAGAAACCUAAUUUGGCAACUUUUUUUUUCUCUCGGUUCAUUCAGAAUGUUUCUUCUCUGUCUUCUGGGUCACAUGGUUUCAACAAGAUAUUUCAUGUUAUGAUCGGUUCCUUUGUACCUACUCUUUAUAUUUCUCUGAUUGCUUUUAAGAUUUUCUCUUUUAUACUGAUUUUAAGUAAUUUGAUUACAUUGUGCCUUAGUGUUAUUUCCUCAUGGCAUGUGUGUGUGUGUGUGUGUGUGUGUGUGUUUGUGUGUGCGUGUGUGGAGUUAUUUGAACAACCUGAAUCUGUAGAUUUAUAUUUUUCAUCAGUCUGGAAAAUUCUUGGCUAGUAUUUUUCUUUUUACCAUUCUGUCUCCUCUUCUUUGGUGACUCUAAUCAUGUGUAUUAAUAAACUAAUAAUUAAAGACAUCCUGCGUCCUCAUUGACACUCUGAUAAUUAUUUUUUGCCUGUGUUUCCUUUUGGAGAAUUUUCAUUGCUGUAUCUUCACGUUCACUAUUCUUUUCUUUGGUUGUAUCUAAUCUGCUUUGAAUCUUAGCCAAUAUAUAUUUCAUCUCAGACAUGGUGGUUUUCCUAUUUGGAAGUUUGAUUUAAUUUUAUUUAUUUCUUCUUCUCUAUUAACAUGUCAGUCUUUCCCUAACUUCUUGAAAUUAUGAACUAUAGUUUUUAAUGUGCUUGUCUGCUAUAAUUAUACCAUCUCUGUCAUUUUGGAUCCAGUUCCAACUGAUUGAUUUUCCUCUUCAUUAUCAGUCAUAUUAUCUUGCCUUAUAGCCUUGUCUUUCUAUCUAUGUCUUAUAGUGUGUGAUUGAUUUGAUCCUUUCAGUCUUACUUUUAAGCUUUAUUAUGAAGGAAUAGAGCAGUUGGUCCAGGGCGUAUUUUCUACCACUAUUGAAACACAGUACUCCUGAGAAUUCUUCCUGAUUUGUGGAUUGUGAGGUUUUUUUUUUUUUUAACGCUGGCUGGAUCUUUGGUCUACUGCAGCAUAGGCUCACAUUAUUAGAAACUGAAGAAGAAAUACUAAAAGGUGGAGUUACCAUUAUGUCUCAGCAGUAACAAAUCUGACUAGGAUCCAUGAGGAUGCAAGUUUGAUCCCCAGCCUCACUCAGUGGAUUAAGGAUCCCACGUUGUCAUGAGCUGUGGUGUAGAUUGCAGACGCGGCUCUGAUCCCGCAUUGCUGUGGCUCUGGCGUAGGCCGGUGGCUACAGCUCUGAUUCGACCCCUAGCCUGGGAACCUCCAUAUGCCGCGGGAGCGGCCCAAGAAAUAGCCAAAAAAAAAAAAAAAAAAAAAAAAAAA